Molecule: ribosomal RNA, 820 nt
Filed under: uncultured Acholeplasma sp.
Lineage: Bacteria; Bacillati; Mycoplasmatota; Mollicutes; Acholeplasmatales; Acholeplasmataceae
Description: bacterial SSU rRNA
Rfam family: Bacterial small subunit ribosomal RNA
Source: RNAcentral
AAUGGGGCUGCUAUACUGCAAGUCGAACGCACUAGCAAUAGUGAGUGGCGAACGGGUGAGUAACACGUAGGUAACUUACCUCUAAGACGAGGAUAACGACUGGAAACGGUCGCUAAAACUGGAUAGGAUCAUUUGAGGCAUCUCGGAUGAUUUAAAGGGGCUUACAAGCCACACUCAGAGAAAGGCCUGCGGCGCAUUAGCUAGUUGGUGGUGUAGAGGACUACCAAGGCGAUGAUGCGUAGCCGGACUGAGAGGUCGAACGGCCACAUUGGGACUGAGACACGGCCCAAACUCCUACGGGAGGCAGCAGUAGGGAAUUUUCGGCAAUGGGGGAAACCCUGACCGAGCAACGCCGCGUGAAUGAAGAAGUAUUUCGGUAUGUAAAGUUCUUUUAUUGAGGAAGAAUGGGUUGGGAAGGAAAUGACCUGACCGUGACGGUACUCAAUGAAUAAGCCCCGGCUAACUAUGUGCCAGCAGCCGCGGUAAUACAUAGGGGGCAAGCGUUAUCCGGAAUUAUUGGGCGUAAAGGGUGCGUAGGCGGUCUGUUAAGUCUAAGGUGUAAGUGCAAGGCUCAACCUUGUGAUGCUUUAGAAACUGGUGGACUAGAGAUAGAUAGAGGCAAGUGGAAUUCCAUGUGUAGCGGUAAAAUGCGUAAAUAUAUGGAGGAACACCAGUGGCGAAGGCGGCUUGCUGGGUCUAUACUGACGCUGAGGCACGAAAGCGUGGGGAGCAAACAGGAUUAGAUACCCUGGUAGUCCACGCCGUAAACGAUGAGUACUAAGUGUUGGGGGAACCCAGUGCUGUAGUUAACAUAUUAAGU